This 498-nucleotide ribosomal RNA is filed under the name uncultured bacterium. RNAcentral's name for it is "partial 16S ribosomal RNA". It matches the Rfam family "Bacterial small subunit ribosomal RNA", at positions 30 to 523 of the family's 1533-position model. The record is from RNAcentral.
AUUGAACGCUGGCGGCAUGCCUUACACAUGCAAGUCGAACGGUAACAGGUCUUCGGAUGCUGACGAGUGGCGAACGGGUGAGUAAUACAUCGGAACGUGCCUAGUAGUGGGGGAUAACUACUCGAAAGAGUGGCUAAUACCGCAUGAGAUCUACGGAUGAAAGCAGGGGAUCGCAAGACCUUGUGCUACUAGAGCGGCCGAUGGCAGGUUAGGUAGUUGGUGGGAUAAUAGCUUACCAAGCCGGCGAUCUGUAGCUGGUCUGAGAGGACGAUCAGCCACACUGGGACUGAGACACGGCCCAGACUACUACGGGAGGCAGCAGUGGGGAAUUUUGGACAAUGGGCGCAAGCCUGAUCCAGCAAUGCCGCGUGCAGGAUGAAGGCCUUCGGGUUGUAAACUGCUUUUGUACGGAGCGAAAAGCCCCGGGUUAAUACCCUGGGGUCAUGACGGUACCGUAAGAAUAAGCACCGGCUAACUACGUGCCAGCCGCCGCGGUAA